RNAcentral lists this ribosomal RNA (245 nucleotides) under uncultured Bacteroidota bacterium. Its description in RNAcentral is "uncultured Bacteroidetes bacterium partial 16S ribosomal RNA". It matches the Rfam family "Bacterial small subunit ribosomal RNA", at positions 524 to 768 of the family's 1533-position model. Lineage: Bacteria; Pseudomonadati; Bacteroidota. The record is from RNAcentral.
UACGGAGGAUGCGAGCGUUAUCCGGAUUUAUUGGGUUUAAAGGGUGCGUAGGCGGCGCAGCAAGUCAGCGGUGAAAUGCAAGGGCUUAACCCUUGACGUGCCGUUGAAACUGUCGUGCUAGAAUGCGGAUGCUGUGGGAGGAAUGUGUAGUGUAGCGGUGAAAUGCAUAGAUAUUACACAGAACACCGAUUGCGAAGGCAUCUCACAAAUCCGCGAUUGACGCUGAGGCACGAAAGUGCGGGGAU